GGAUUCCCUAGCUCGGACGCCGAAGUCACGUCGUCUUUUACAGUUUGCUGCUCUGUCCCUGCCACACCGGCCGAUGGCACAGAGAACCCAGCAGAUGCAUCCCUCCUGCCCGCGCCCCCGGGGCCUCGCCUCCCUGGGCCAGGAGAGGGCGGCAGAGGAGAGAGCGUGAGCGCGGCCAGGAGCCCUCCCCAGCGCCCGGCGUGGCAUCUCUGGGACCCGGAGCAGGAGGCCUCGGAAUCGCUGUGGCCCCCACGGCCCUGGCCGCACCCUCCGUGGGAGAAGAAGCCGGUGGACACAUGAGACCAGAGGCCGCAGGCUGUGGGGCGCAGGGAGGUGCCAGUGUGACCACCUGCCGUCUGCAGGUGGACUUCCCUUCCCAGCAAAGUCAGCAGGGGCCCUGGAGACGCUGCAUCGCUGUGCGACGUGCCCGCUGACGAGGGGCAGGGACCCCGAGGGGACGCAGCUGAGGUCGGAGAAGGCAGAGGACACUCGGGAAGGGACGGGCCGCGUUUCGCUUCUCUCCUCCCGUGUGGACAGGCCGCGAGGUGGCCUCCGCCUCCGGCUGCGGUGCACGGCGCUGCCGUGCAGGGGCGCGUGCGGAUGCUCUUCCAGGACCUGCGCGCAUCCCGCUGGGGCUGCUACCGCGCAGGACAGCGGGACCAGACGGCGCCCGUGCGGUUGACUCCGCCAGGAACUGCCACACCGGCUCCCGGCUUUGCCCGCUUUGUACUUUAUGUGGGAGGACCUGCCGGUGCUCAUGCCACGCGUCUGGCUUCCUGCGUGUGACGCUGUUCAGGAGAUUCCUGUGGGUCGUUGCGCACAACUGAAGCCUGGUUCUUUGCCGUUGUACAAACAUACAAUUUACCAAGCAGUUGUUCAUGAGCAGCGGGGCUGUAACCAGCUUGGGGCUGUUAGGGACGGCGCCGCCCCGCUGCCCACGGGAGCAGGUGCACCAGUGAACCCACGCGUGCACUUCCCGGGGGAACAAGAUGCAGCAGGAGUGGCGGCUCCGGGACGUGCAUGCAGUUCGGCUGCAUUUGCAUCAGGCGCACAAGCAGGGUUCCCUCGGAGGGAGGCGGUGCUGGUGUUGAAUGAACACAGCAACGACACCGAGGUUAACCGCAGCGUGAGUGUCCACGGAGAGCUUCGGAGGCGGCCCCUCAGGCUGUGAAGCCGACGGGGCGGCCACGGCCAUCUGUCCGAUGUUUCGGGUCAGGGCGGAACCAGGAGGUUCGGGGCUUCCCCUGCGUCCGCCACUGGUGGGUGUGGAGCCCGGGCCAAAGCCGAGGGCGCCGUGCCACGCGUCCAGUCUUCAUCCGUGUCCUCUGCCUCUCCAUCGCCGGCAUCGCCUUAAAAAAAAAAAAACACCAGUUUUCAUUGCAAGGGAAAUACCUGUGACUUGUCUCACUGCAGCUCCCGGGCUCUUUCCUCCUCUGUUACGACAACUGGCAGCGAGAGGAUGUGCCCGUCUUUCUCCCCUGCGUUUGCCAUCCCGUGUCUGUUCAAGGGCCUGCCUCUUUGCGCUACGAUCCCAAAUAACUGCACCGAACAUGAUCUGCAGAACAAAGCCAGUGGGAACGGACAGAGGAGCAUCUGCAGGAGCGCGAGGAAACUGGCCGGCCUGUCUUGUAACCUCUUCCGACCUGCGGGAGGGCUACGGAGGCCCUUUGGUCACCUGAGAGAUUUGCCGGGACGGCCACUGUCCACGUGCCUUGACCAUCUGCGCAUGCGACGCUUCACUCCUCCCUUCCAAACGGUGUUCGCACCUGCCCACUGUGUCUGUGACUCUCGGCCGUGCUCGUGGUCACACUCCCUGUCGAUACAUGUUCCACGGCACUUCCGGUGGCUUCAUUCUCCCAGGUGCACGCGGGCUGGUUCCAGAUUCAGCGGUCAUACGUGGUGACCAUCCUUGCAUGCAAAUCCUCACGCAGGAACGUAUUUUUUAGGACGUAUUUCUAUGAAUUAUAUUGGGAUUUUGGUUCAUUGUGUCCAAAUGCACCCCUUUGCCCGGCCUUCCCAUCCUCAAAAAAAAAAAAAAAACAAAACAAAAAAA
This 2053-nucleotide long non-coding RNA is filed under the name Canis lupus familiaris (dog). RNAcentral describes it as "lncRNA (ENSCAFG00845017427.1)". Lineage: Eukaryota; Metazoa; Chordata; Mammalia; Carnivora; Canidae. The record is from RNAcentral.